GGGCGCUUAGCUCAGCCUGGUUAGAGCACCUGCCUUACAAGCAGGGGUCGCUGGUCGAGUCCAGCAGCGCCCAC
Molecule: transfer RNA, 74 nt
Filed under: Gammaproteobacteria bacterium
Lineage: Bacteria; Pseudomonadati; Pseudomonadota; Gammaproteobacteria
Description: tRNA-Val
Rfam family: tRNA
About the family: Transfer RNA (tRNA) molecules are approximately 80 nucleotides in length. Their secondary structure includes four short double-helical elements and three loops (D, anti-codon, and T loops). Further hydrogen bonds mediate the characteristic L-shaped molecular structure. tRNAs have two regions of fundamental functional importance: the anti-codon, which is responsible for specific mRNA codon recognition, and the 3' end, to which the tRNAs corresponding amino acid is attached (by aminoacyl-tRNA synthetases). tRNAs cope with the degeneracy of the genetic code in two manners: having more than one tRNA (with a specific anti-codon) for a particular amino acid; and 'wobble' base-pairing, i.e. permitting non-standard base-pairing at the 3rd anti-codon position.
Source: RNAcentral